Molecule: ribosomal RNA, 204 nt
Filed under: Amanita ponderosa
Lineage: Eukaryota; Fungi; Basidiomycota; Agaricomycetes; Agaricales; Amanitaceae
Description: partial 28S ribosomal RNA
Rfam family: Eukaryotic large subunit ribosomal RNA
Source: RNAcentral
UUGACCUCAAAUCAGGUAGGACUACCCGCUGAACUUAAGCAUAUCAAUAAGCGGAGGAAAAGAAACUAACAAGGAUUCCCCUAGUAACUGCNAGUGAAGUGGGAAAAGCUCAAAUUUAAAAUCUGACAGUCUUUGACUGUCUGAGUUGUAACCUANANAAGUGCUACCUGUGCUGGACCAUGUAUAAGUCUCCUGGAAUGGAGU